This is a non-coding RNA of Aegilops tauschii subsp. strangulata, 636 nucleotides long. Lineage: Eukaryota; Viridiplantae; Streptophyta; Magnoliopsida; Poales; Poaceae. The record is from RefSeq and is a predicted model, not a curated record.
CUUUGCAAUACAUUGAUUUAUUUGUGCAUGCAGGGUGGUAAUUAGUUCGUCUUUAGCUCGUUAUUAGCUAUGCGAUGGUAGUGCUUAGUGGUUAGAAAUAAUUUCAGACGACAGAUGUAGCAUUUAUACUAGUUUUUUAGAAGAGUAGGUUGAAGAUGUUGUAUCAAUGUUAGGUGCGUCCAUUAUAUUGACAUGCGGGAAAUCUUAAUACGGUAAUUAAGAAAAAAUUGUACUGUAAUUGUUCAUUGCAUGUGGUACGUUAUUUCAUGUGGUAUGUUUAUUAAUAAGUCUAUAGUUAGGAAACCGUAGGUCUACUUUGUUAUGUCGCAAUAAUCUAAAUUUUAUAUGUUAAGAUUAGGUGCUAAUGUACUUAAUGAUGUAUGUAAUUAGGUAAAAUAAUUCAUCUUAGUAGCAAACAAGGAGGAGAUGACGUGAUUGAAGAAAUUGUGUAUCCAUCUUGGCUGUCCCUUUUAAGGUUGACUCCGUUCAUAUAGCACUGGUGACGGAUAUUUAUUGGAACUAUUUUGACGCUUAAUUGCAUUCGCAAGCACAUCCAUAUUGGAGCUAAGGAAUAAAAUGAUGCCGUAAUUUUGAUAAUAUUUUUUGUAUUGAUGUACAAUUGUGAAUAAUGUGCAU